AGCAGCCGCGGUAAUUCCAGCUCCAAUAGCGUAUAUUAAAGUUGUUGCAGUUAAAAAGCUCGUAGUUGAAUUUCGGGGUUUAUCAGUUGGUCGGGCUUCAUUGUCCGUACUGAUUUGAUGGAUUCCUACCUUCUGAAUAACUAGCAUGCUAUUAAGUUAGUGCGUUAGGGAAGCAGAUCUAUUACCUUGAAAAAUUAGAGUGCUUAAAGCAAGCUAUUGCUUGAAUAGAUUAGCAUGGAAUAAUAAAAUAGGACGGCAUGGUUCUAUUUUGUUGGUUUCUAGGAUCACCGUAAUGAUUAAUAGGGAUAGUUGGGGGCAUUAGUAUUCAAUUGUCAGAGGUGAAAUUCUUGGAUUUAUUGAAGACUAAACUUCUGCGAAAGCAUUUGCCAAGGAUGUUUUCAUUAAUCAAGAACGAAAGUUAGGGGAUCGAAGACGAUCAGAUACCGUCGUAGUCUUAACCAUAAACUAUGCCGACUAGGAAUCGGACAUGUUAAUUUUAAUGUACUCGUUCGCACCUUAA
RNAcentral lists this ribosomal RNA (520 nucleotides) under uncultured Glomeromycotina. RNAcentral's name for it is "SSU rRNA". It matches the Rfam family "Eukaryotic small subunit ribosomal RNA", at positions 569 to 1091 of the family's 1831-position model. Lineage: Eukaryota; Fungi; Glomeromycota. The record is from RNAcentral.